CUCUGGGUGAAAUCCUUGCUGCCCUCUCCCCUCCAGGGUUUCUGGGGAGUUCAGAGCUCUUCCAGCUCCCUUUGGAAGAGGCUGGGGAGCCCAGUGCCUUCAGCCUGGCCAGGCAAUGCUGUGGGUUGGGCUGAUGGAGCAGGUGCCUGUGGGACUUUGAGAAGAAAAGCUCUGCUCCUGGCUCUUCAUCCUUCUGUCUUCAAGACCAAAAGUGGAAUCUGCUCUCACGUCCAGGCAGUGUCUCUCACCUCCUGGAUAAGAGAAGCCAGCUGGAAAGAGGCUGGAGCCCCAGGGAGAAGAGGACAAUGUUAUCCUGAGGUUUCUUUCUCACCAUUUUUGCAGCACAUCUCUAAUUAAGCUCUCUGAACACACCCUGUUCCAGACUGGCCUGUGGAAAAUAUUGACCUUUAAAAGGGAGCUGAGAUACCCAAGGGGCUGGACAGGACUGGACAGCAGGCUUGUUCCUGCACCCGAGAGAAUUGUGGGAAUGAUGUGGCAGUGCUGGAGGGCAGAUGGGAAUCCUGCAGUUUGUGUCUCCAAGCCUGUUUGGCUGUGCCCUGGCUGGGGUCUGAGGGACCUGGUGUCUGGCUGCUGGGUCUCCUUCCAUCAUCAUCUGCCUCCCUGAGUGCUGCAUUCCCUGUGAAAAGUUGGCUUUCCCUGAUAAUCCCCAAAUGACAUCCUCAGUUACAUCAGGAAAAUGAAGCUCAGGCAAUUCACAACCCCAUGGAUCCAGCAUCAGAGGCUUUUAUGGAUCUUUUUACAAAUACACUGCCAGGACUCAUUAUCUGGGGAGGAACAUGGGCUGCACCCCAGCCUCAUCCACCCCUCCAUUCCCUCCUGUGGAAAAAUGACUUUGCCACAGUGAGAAAAAUCAUCAGGAAACGAGUGGGAAUGGCAGAGAACCACCUGUCCCAAUGCCAUGUGUGACCUGGGGCUGGCUGCUCACCAUGGGGAGGUGCAGACAGAUCCCUCAAACCCAGCUCAGGACAGAGCCAGGCACAUCCCUAAAUCCCUGGCCCCAGCCACAGAGCAGGAGCCUUUCAGCAAAAUGCCUUGUUUAACACCACAUUCUGUAGAAAUGCAGCAUCUUUUUAAUGGAGCUGCUGUGGGAAUAGAGAUGGAGACAUAAAAGGGAUAAAAAAAAUCCGUAUUUUGCAUUUUGCUGGAAUGAGCUCCUGCUAAUUGUUUGUGUCCAGCUCCUGUUUAUGCCAUUGUUUUGUUGCACAGCUCCUAAAUUAAGUUGGCUCUGGAGCAAACCUUCCCCAUCAGCCCUGUGUGGCUUCCCUGGGCUGCUGCAUCCACACUCAUCCUGCUCCUGCACUCUUGAUUAGUACUUCAUUAAUUAGGAACCUGUGCUUGCUCUGAGGACAGAGGAUGUUCCAUGAGGAAGCAUCCUGGGAAGGAGCUGUUCAACAGAGCCUUGAGUGAGGCUGAUCCAGCCGUUUUUUGCCUCCAAGGGGAUCUGUUUCUGUUCAUUUGCAGUGAACCCUCCUGGAGGGGGUGGUCCCUGUCCACCUCCUCCUGCCUCAUCUUCCCUCCUCUCCAAGGCUGAUGUUUGGCUUCCCAGCCCACUGACCUCAGGAUGGUUGUUGGUAGCCACAGCACAUCCAGGGCUAAUGCUGGGGUGGGCUGGGCAGGGAGGGAUCCUUCCAGCUCCGUGUCCAUCCCUGUCUGUCCCAAACUCUCUCUGGCCAGUGGCUGUGUGUCCUCUUCCAGAGCGUGGGUGUGUGGGCAGCAGUUGUGCUCUGAUAUUUUUGGGAGCAGAUUAGUUGUCAAUCCCCCCUCUCCUGUGCCAAACAGCUGCUGAUCUCCUUCUGGAAGUGUCCAAGGCCAGGCUGGAUGGGGCUCUGAGCACCCUGCUCUAGUGGAAGGUUCUCCUGCAUGUGGCAGGAGGUAGCAGUGAGAUGGUCUUCAAGGUCCUUUCAUACCCAAACCAUUCCAGGGUUCUGUGAUUCUCUCUUUUCAUCUCUAAAAACCUGAUAUUCAGCUUCUUCUGUCAGUCCCUUCCCUUCUUUCAGUCAGAGAACCACCCUCAGGUGUCUCAACUUUUACAUCUGAAUGGCAAAGACAUAGCAAGGAAAGGGCUUUUUCCAGCCCUGUGGAAACCCAUCAUGGCUCUGUGGAGCAGUAGGAAGGCUGGUGUGGCUCUUUCCUGCUCUCUUACACAAAAUUAAUGCUUCUCUGGUGUGCAGAGCUCCAAAUUUCCACAGAUUUUCCCUGUCAGGGGGGCCAGGAGAGUCCUGUCAAAGACUUGGUAAGGGUUUAGUAAAGGCUGUGCUCUUCCCUUCACUGGAAAGGUUUGGGAUAAGGGACAAUCCAGGCUGUGCAAGGCAGAGAAAAGAAAGAUUUUAGCCCUACUGAGUCUCACUGCCUUUGGAGUUUUAAAGGCUUCUGCCUUUCCUGUAGAUUUCUCUCACAGUCCCCUUGCACAGAAGGAAGGGGAGGAAUGAAGCAGGGAUGGAGCAGUGCAGCUGGAGCAGGUCUGUGCUGUUCCAGGACGUGGAUCCACAGGCUCCCAAGAGCUGCCACUCAACCCAAGGGUGAGAUCCACCCAGGGCAUCCCAGAGCUGGCCAUGGGCAGGGGCUGCAGUGGCAGGAAGGGCCCUGGGGCUGGUGGCAGCACUGGUGGGCAGGGCUGCACCCUUCAAUCCUAGAAGCCUCUCCUGGUGCUGGGGCAGGGUGGGAGAGCUCUGCUCCACUCUCCUGACCUGGGACCUCCUCACUCCUGCUGCAGCAGGGCCCCUUGGAGCACUUCCCAUGGCUAUGAAGCUGCCAUCCUACAAAAGCAGCUUUCCUGCUCCUGGCAGGCCUUGGAAUGAGAUCUUUCAGGCCCUUCACACUCAAAUAAUUCUGUUAUUCUGUAGUCAAAGCAUUGCUGGCCAAGGAGAGGUUGCUUCACCCCCGUAACUCCAUCACAGGGCAGAUAUUUCUUCUCCUUGCUCCACCCUGGGAAUGAAUUUGGGAAUGUCAGGGCAGCUUUGGGGUGGGAUUCAGGCACUGGGCCAGGGGAAGAGCUCCUCACUCCCUGGAUUCUCACCACGUGGAGCAGCCUGAGCCCAGUGGGACUUGGCUCCUGAGCAGCACAGUGGGAGCAGAAGUUCCUGCUGGUACUGCAGUGGAGAAAUACUGCAUUAAAGCAGGAAAUAUCCAAUGUGCAUUGCAAAUGAAGAGGUUUUUCAUUUGUGGUCUAAGGGAGGAAAAAUAUCGCCAAGCCUAGUUAAUAACACAGGAAAGCUCUCGUGGUUAUCAGGGAUCUUCAGCUCUAAUCCCCUCUGAUAACAGUAAAUUGAAGCAGCUCCUCUGCUGAGGUUUUUCUGUUGCUGGAUUGUACCCAUAUAAUAAGAGAAAUGGGCACUGCCUCUCCUAUUUACCAUUCCUUCAUUUAAAUAAGUUUUCAAACUGCACUUUCCUCCCUUCAGAGACAUCUGAUUUACUGCAUUUUAAACAGAAACCACUCCUGCAACAAUACCUCUUUCUAUCAAGAUUUGUAAUCAGGCUGUUCCUGUUGAACUGUUGUUAUUCAAGUUAUUAAUUUGUCGUUUUGCACAGAGUCUGAUCACAGAGAGAGAUGAACAGGAGGGUCUGUGCACCUGCAGGCAGAGCAGGAUGGAUUUAAUUAGAGCAAAGAAAGCUGCAGGUUUUAUUUUGUGUUUGUGUUGUUGGUUUGGUGUUUCCUCAGCCCAGCAUUUUACGAGCUUACGCAGCAAUCUGCAUAAAUUACCAUGCACAUUUUCACUUUGGUUCUUACACCUAAUUUGAUUAAUGGUAAUGCCUUUGACAGGGUAGAUGGAGAGGGAGUUUUUCCAAAGGCAUGGAGUGACAGGACAAGGGGAAUGAC
Parus major (Great Tit) is the source of this 3838-nucleotide long non-coding RNA. RefSeq lists it as uncharacterized. Lineage: Eukaryota; Metazoa; Chordata; Aves; Passeriformes; Paridae. The transcript is spliced from 3 exons. The record is from RefSeq and is a predicted model, not a curated record.